UUUAGUCUUGUCAAAACUAUUUAGCAUUAAAAACUUCUGAGCCCAACGAAUUUUAAAUUUUUUUUAUUCCAAUCUCAAGUGUCAACUUCGCCGAAACCCAGAAAUCAUUUAAUGCAUUUCUCGUCGAUGAACAGCGUACGUACGAACCCGGUUCUUUUGGAUUCCAACGACGCGGUCCGUACGUACAAACCGGGUUCAGUUUCGUCAGGUCGCCAGGGGCAUUUUGGUCAGUUUUUGGCUUAAUGGCUAAUAGCUGAAAGGCCCAGCCCACUUUGUCAAAAUCUGAAAUUAAAAGUGGGUCAAUGGCUACUGUGUGCAAUUUACCCUUCUUGUAAUUGAAUAACCUCAGAAACAGUUUUAUUUGAUCUCUUGCAUUAUUACAUUAGAGUAGAACUUAAGAACAAAGCUUUCUGCUUCCACAAUCAGUUCCAACACUAUCGAUUCUCCUCUCUUCACACAGUUAGCAUUGCAAAACGUUUUCCAACCUCCUACUAAUCUCAUUCUCUUACGGUCCUUUUCAAACCUCAGAUUCGUAGACCAUUUCACAUCAUCUUUAUCCAAGAAACUCAUCUUCUUUGCAUUUUUUAUGCCAUUCACCUCGCCAGUUUGUCAUAACGUAGAC
RNAcentral lists this small RNA (622 nucleotides) under Arabidopsis thaliana (thale cress). RNAcentral's name for it is "ATSL094640". Lineage: Eukaryota; Viridiplantae; Streptophyta; Magnoliopsida; Brassicales; Brassicaceae. The record is from RNAcentral.